GUUCACAUUAUUAUUGUUGUAAUAAAAUCUUCACUUGGCUCUAACCUAACAGAGUUUAUCCUCCCAACCUCUAACACUUCCUACCGUUCAUUUGCUGUCCUUAAACAAGGUACUAUAUCUUCCAUAGCUCUCCUGUAUCACUUAGUAGGUCAGUGGCUGUGGGGACAGAGUAAGUCCUACUACUAAGAAUAAUUUUGUCUUUAGAAAUGAAGUCUGGGUACAUUAAAGCCAUGAGUUGGAAAUGUACUAGAAGAUGGCUAAUUUGGAGCUUGAUCUUUGGGAGACAAAAACUAAAACACAGCCCCAUUGAAUGCUAAUAAUGGAACAUAAAGGAAUGAACCUGCAAGAACAAAUAGAACAAGAAAGUGGAAGGAUGACGGCUGACUGGAGCUGUCAAUGCAGUGUUGGGAGUCAGAAAGCAGAUGAACAGGUGGGAACCGACUUUGCAGAACAGAGAAAGCUGAUGCCACUUGACUGCAAGAGACAAAGAAAACAAGAAGGAACGAUUUGCUCCACUGCAACGCUGGGAGUUGGAAGACGUUGGAGGAAUGCCUUCCAAAUUAUGAAAGAAAAUGAUCACUAACCCAGGCUUAUACCUCUUUCAAAUUGUCAGCUAAGUGUUCUGGUACCAAUUCUAAUGUGUGUAUGUGGGCUUCUCCCCACAUCAACAGGCAAGUCUUCACAACACCAGCUGGGUGUCCUAUAAUUUAACUCAAGUCCGACACUAUCUACCUGGAGGCAGCAUCAGAUCCCACAGCUUACGGGCUCUGUUCCACAAGAUUGUUUCUCCUCUCUUCAAAUGCCAAUCACAAGUCUAUGUUUUCAUCUGUGCUUCUGACUCAUUGCCUAUAAAUCAGAGAUUCCUACAACCCCCUCCUCAGGUUUGAGUAAUUUGCUAGAGUGGC
Molecule: long non-coding RNA, 905 nt
Filed under: Equus caballus (horse)
Lineage: Eukaryota; Metazoa; Chordata; Mammalia; Perissodactyla; Equidae
Description: lncRNA (ENSECAG00000045162.1)
Source: RNAcentral